UGUGUCAGGUGAAGCAAUGCUCCUUGCAGGCUGUUGCACCAGUGUCAGGCUCUUUCCACAUGAACAGGUACCACCACCAUCAUCUGGUGGUCUCAACCAUGCAUGGAGCCAGAAUGCCAGAGGGAGAUGUACUCUAGGUGUCCCAGCAGGAAUUUCCUGCUUUCUCAGCAGCUCACAGAUGAAGAGUUCACAGCCACUGUGGUUACACAGCUGAUCCGUAGCCAUCCCAGUGCUGGAAGAUGCUGCUGGCUUGCAGGAGGGUUUCUGAGUCUCCAGAUGUGCAUGUUGCAUACUCUAGGAGGGCAGCUGAAGGGCUGAAGCAGAAGGCACCAGAGAUUCUCACUUGCAGUGAAGCACCACUGUCUGCUGUCAUGGGGGAGGGAUAUAAAUGACGUCCUGUGUCUGCCUACUAGAGAUUCCUAGACUGCCCCUUCUGAUCUUCCAUUUACACAUGCAUUUCUGUCUCUUCCCCUCAUACUUGAAUUUUUAUAUGGAUAGCACACAACAAAAGUUUUGAAUUUUGCUGCUGUGGGUCCAGCUACAAAUAGGUUCUGCUUUUGUAUAUUUUUUCCUAUGGAGUAAGGGAGCAGGGUUUACCCUAGUUUGGUGUAUAAUUUCUUGGAUAGAGUAAUGGGCACAGGGGCCUAUACAGGUGGCCUGCACAUGCUCUGAAACCAUUUGCUUGGGACUUGAGACAUCCGCAUCCGUGGCUGUAGAGAUUUGUAUGUCCAAGGCAUCUGGCCAAAUUCCUCUUUCAUCACUUGGAAAUCAACUUUCAGGUGGAAAAAGAGGUCAUUCCUGGGGAAGGCGGGACAUAUGACAGCUCUUAGAUGAAGGUUAAAUUGUGGAUUUGCAAAAAAAAUCCCAAUACUUGAAGAAGUGCUGCUUAAAUCCCUGCUGCAUAAAGGCUUAUUCAUGUCCUUUCUGUAGGUAGAGGGCUAUAUGUAUGUGUAGGCUUCUUUAGUACACCUCUGUGUUUGCUUUCUAUCACCUGAAUCCAGCCCGUUUUUUGCUGUUAUUUUGGUUUUAAAUUACUAUCCUAAAGUACUUUAAAUGUAAAAGAACAUAUUGAUUUUUAAAGCAUUAUAUUGUUGUUUUUCUGUUUUAUUAAAAAACAAAACCAGCACCAGCUUAACGUAUUUCACAGCUUGUGUCCUGGGCCUGAAAGCUCUGCAGAUACAAAUAUGAUCACAAAGGAGAGAAAAAAAUGUAUUGAAAUGUAAAGGAUCUGUAUUACUAGAUGAGUGGAAAAUUAGCAUGGUAGCUAUUUCACUGCUUUCUCACCCAAUGUAUAUAUAUCUUACUCUCUG
This 1310-nucleotide long non-coding RNA is filed under the name Cyanistes caeruleus (blue tit). RNAcentral's name for it is "lncRNA (ENSCCEG00000022813.1)". Lineage: Eukaryota; Metazoa; Chordata; Aves; Passeriformes; Paridae. The record is from RNAcentral.